UCCCUCCCUCUCCGUCUCCCCCUUUCCACCCGCCCAAGGAGACAUCAACCGUUGCGUGGGGCUCGCUCCCAGUCUCCCCCUUUCCGCCCUAGAAGUAGAAGACGACAUUACCGACCGGCGAGCGUGAGACGACCGCCGCUGGACGAUAUUCCGACGGACGCCGGGUCUGUCUCUCUCUCCCUCCCCGUUUCAUCCUUUCCACCCGAGCAUCCUUCUUCUCGCCUGCAGAGGACGACAUUACCGAUCGGCGGACGUGAGACGACCGCCACUGCUCGAGACUUGGACGCUAAGGUUCUUCCCUGUUCAGACCAUACCGACCGUCGCCGGAGUCACCAUCGCCGCCGCUGGACAGUGGGUUGCCGCUGUUCAUUGUUUUCCCCGCACACCUCGAAAAUUGAAGGUUUCCUGUUUCGCUGCUCGGGUUUCUUUCUCUCCCGAUUGUCUCCAGACUCACCGCUGGCUGCCGGCGAUUCCAUCUCUCGCUUUCUCUCUCGCGUGAGCGCACGUUCUCGUUUCAGACCGCUAUCUUUCUCUGCUCCAAAUCUAUCUCAUGGUUCAUUGCUCAACUGGAGUUUGAUUUGUCUUGUUAAUUUGUUGGCUUUUCUCAUCAUACAGUAUACUGGUCAAAGAAAAGCCUCUCCGUGUUUCAUUUGUGUAUCUGCGGUCUGCUUCCAUUCUUCUUCAUGGUUUUAAUGAGAAGCAAUGGGAAAACCUGCUCUUCAGACCACCAAUCUAAACUCUUUCAUGUACACCCUUACGAGCCACAAAAUGACACAGAAACCUCUUUGAGAGAGGCCUUCUCUUUAGUACAUUCAAGGCUAAAACCACCAUUCUCACCAUCCCUUCUCUCACAAACAGAUUACAUCCUACUCAAUAGGGCGCUUCUCUAUGGUAUUUUGACGCAAUCACCAUUAGCCAGAAUCCACUACACUCAUCUUUGUGCUAUUGUCACAGAUGGAUACAAGUUCUUUAUAGGGUUGCUCCUGAAAAUGGUGAAUGACACAUACAUGAAACUCCUGCAACCUGUGAAGGCCCAGGUGUUGUGGGUAUGUGAUAGACUGAUUGAUGCUGAAGCUGCUGGGAUCGAUGAGUUGUUAGUUUAUCUGUUGAGACAGAUUAUUGGUGGUGAUUACAGCAGUGAGAACCUCUGGUUGUCGAAUGAGCUCAUUCUGGUUUUGAGACGUAAUUGGGAAUGGGUUUUAGGUCAUGAAUUUCUGGUUGGUGCAUCUGUGUAUAGUUUUCUCCGCCUUUUGGCGGAUCACUAUAGAUUAGCAAGUCAAUCAGUUGAUGCCCUUAAGCAGAAUGAGUUAGGAUUCUGCAUCAUGGUGUUGAGGAAGCACUUUGGUAUGUGCCUCAGCAUAGGAAGAGACCUUGUUCGCCUACUGCAGGAUGUAGCAAUCAUUCCUGAAUUUCAAACCCUUUGGAUGGACUUGCUUACAAAUCCAAGCGCCUUUGGGGUUCUGGGGUUCUCUGAUAUCUCACACAUUUAUCGGAUUAGGACUUCAACUCGGUAUCUUUCAUUGAGGAUCACACCUGAAAUGGAGUCCAAUUUGAGGUUCUUGCUUACGAAUGUUAAAUGGGGCAAUCAGAAGAGGUACCAGCUUUGGUUCAAAAGCAAGUUUUUGUGUAGCACGGAGAGGGAGACUCUCGUUCCUGAUUUGGUUCGGUUUAUAUGUUGUGCAGUUCAUCCUUCCCCUGAAACUCUACACUCCAAUGUGAUCUCAAGAUGGGCAAUUAUUGGUUGGUUGCUCAAGUGUUGUAUUCAUAGGCAUUAUUAUGAAGCUAAUGCAAAGCUUGCUAUGUUCUAUGAUUGGUUGUUCUUUGAUGAGAGAGUGGAUGAUUUCAUGAGUCUUGAGCCUGUUAUACUCUUGAUUGCAAACUCCAUUCCCCAGUAUGUUGACAUCACAAAUACCCUUUUGGAAUUUUUGUUUCUAGUUAUGGAUAAUUAUGAUGUUAGUAGAAAGGAUAUCAUAGUCAGUGGCGUGUCUAAUUCUUUUGGCGUAUUGGUCAAGAAGGGGCUUGUUGAUUUAAUGAAAUUAAGCUCUUGCUCUUUGUUGUUGCCAUUUUUGAGGGAUAGGCUUAGGUUUUUCUGUCAAGGCCAAUCCCUGUAUGACAGUGAAUAUUUACUUCUAAAAAAAAGGCGAGUUUUUGUUCCGUCGGAUGAAAACAAAUCAGCAAAUGUUCACCCUAAGCCGGUGGAUGGUAUUGGAAACAACAAAAUGCUCCAAGUGCAAGACUACUCGUAGAAGAUUUGCUACAGGCUUGUAUAAACAGCCCAAUGUCUUUUUGUUGGUAGUUUCUUGUCUGCUAUUUAUCAUCUCAAAAUUUUGAUUCAUGUUUUGUACUUGCAAGUGCUGUACCUCUGUCACUUGAUAUGGUUCUUAUUUGUAUUGUCAGUGUGUACAGGAAGUCCUCUGGAUCUUGGUUUCUCUAACAUACUGGCUGUCAAUUCAAAUAAUUUUGAAGAGAUUUGGAAUCCAUCAACUUCAGAAGUUCAAGGUAGCAUUCCCGAUUGUUGGAGGGACAUUCACAAAAUUCCUUCUGUUGGCAAUCCCCAAAAUUUUAUGCUAUUAUGGAGUUCUUUGCUUUUCUCCAAAUUAAUUUCAUAAAGUUGUUACUUUAAGGGGCACUUGAUGGACAAAAACGACUUUCAGGUGUCCUUCUUAGGAGUUCAUCUUCGCCGUACAUGCUAGCAAAUUCACAACUCUCUGAGAAUUUUUUUCUCUUUCACAAGGAUUCCAGGUGGCGCAUGUUUCACAUCUUUGUGAGAAUGAACGAGUUUUUACAGAAAAACGAAAGAAGUGGUUGCGCUGUGAUUGCAAUGGUGAGAAAGUGGGUAUUUGCAGGUUGUAUGAAAUUGACAUCUGAAAACGUUGUACAGCAGUGGCUAAUGUUUCUUUGCAAGUGAUGUUGAUUUACUACCCGACUCAACUAGAAUGUUUGUGUUGACUGCUGAGAAAUGUACGAAAUGAAUAGAAUGCCAACCUUCAAAACCGGUAAAAUAUGGCAAUACGUCAAACUGGUGUAUAGUUAUUUCAUCCUGUCCCUUUGUUUACGUCAGUUGCGAACUUGGAAAUGCCAUGCCCGAUCUUGGGAUG
RNA transcript from Nymphaea colorata (pocket water lily), 3098 nucleotides. RefSeq lists it as uncharacterized. The record is from RefSeq and is a predicted model, not a curated record. The transcript has 4 exons. Lineage: Eukaryota; Viridiplantae; Streptophyta; Magnoliopsida; Nymphaeales; Nymphaeaceae.